UCCUACGGGAGGCAGCAGUGGGGAAUAUUGCACAAUGGGCGCAAGCCUGAUGCAGCCAUGCCGCGUGAGUGAUGAAGGCCUUAGGGUCGUAAAGCUCUUUCGCCUGUGAUGAUAAUGACAGUAGCAGGUAAAGAAACCCCGGCUAACUCCGUGCCAGCAGCCGCGGUAAUACGGAGGGGGUUAGCGUUGUUCGGAAUUACUGGGCGUAAAGCGCGCGUAGGCGGAUUAGAAAGUUGGGGGUGAAAUCCCGGGACUCAACCCCGGAACUGCCUCCAAAACUGCUAGUCUAGAGUUCGAGAGAGGUGAGUGGAAUUCCGAGUGUAGAGGUGAAAUUCGUAGAUAUUCGGAGGAACACCAGUGGCGAAGGCGGCUCACUGGCUCGAUACUGACGCUGAGGUGCGAAAGUGUGGGGAGCAAACAGGAUUAGAUACCCUGGUAGUCCACACCGUAAACGAUGAAUGCCAGUCGUCGGAUAGUAUACUAUUCGGUGACACACCUAACGGAUUAAGCAUUCCGCCUGGGGAGUACGGUCGCAAGAUUAAAACUCAAAGGAAUUGACGGA
This 562-nucleotide ribosomal RNA is filed under the name uncultured bacterium. Its description in RNAcentral is "bacterial SSU rRNA". It matches the Rfam family "Bacterial small subunit ribosomal RNA", at positions 337 to 917 of the family's 1533-position model. The record is from RNAcentral.